RNAcentral lists this ribosomal RNA (485 nucleotides) under uncultured bacterium. Its description in RNAcentral is "partial 16S ribosomal RNA". It matches the Rfam family "Bacterial small subunit ribosomal RNA", at positions 29 to 507 of the family's 1533-position model. The record is from RNAcentral.
AUGCACGCUGGCGGCGUGCCUAAUACAUGCAAGUCGAACGCUGGAAAUCUAGCUUGCUAGAUUGAAGGAGUGGCGAACGGGUGAGUAAUACAUAAGCAACCUACCCACGAAGACUGGGAUAAUCUCUGGAAACGGGGACUAAUACCGGAUAGGUAAUCGGAAGGCAUCUUCUGAUUAUUAAAGGUUAAAAACACUGGUGGAUGGGCUUAUGGCGCAUUAGUUAGUUGGUGAGGUAACGGCCCACCAAGACGAUGAUGCGUAGCCGGCCUGAGAGGGUGAACGGCCACAUUGGGACUGAGACACGGCCCAGACUCCUACGGGAGGCAGCAGUAGGGAAUUUUCGGCAAUGGGGGAAACCCUGACCGAGCAACGCCGCGUGAGUGAUGACGGCCUUCGGGUUGUAAAGCUCUGUUGUAAGGGAAGAACGGUAGAUAGAGAAUAUCUAAAUGACGGUACCUUACCAGAAAGCCACGGCUAACUACGUG